ACAUGCAAGUCGAACGAGAAAUUUAUUUCUAGUGGCGAACGGGUGAGUAAUGUAUUUCUAAUCUGCCCUAAAGUCUGGGAUAACUAUUGGAAACGAUAGCUAAUACCGGAUAGGAUAUCGAGAGGCAUCUCUUGAUGUUUAAAGGUGCGUUUGCACCGCUAUAGGAUGAGGAAAUAUCACAUUAGGUAGUUGGUAGGGUAAAGGCCUACCAAGCCAAUGAUGUGUAGCCGAGCUGAGAGGUUGAUCGGCCACAAUGGGACUGAGACACGGCCCAUACUCCUACGGGAGGCAGCAGUAGGGAAUUUUCCACAAUGGACGAAAGUCUGAUGGAGCAAUGCCGCGUGAGGGAUGACGGUCUUCGGAUUGUAAACCUCUGUUGUAAGGGAAGAACAAACUGUACAGGAAAUGGUACAGUUCUGACGGUACCUUACCAGAAAGUCACGGCUAACUAUGUGCCAGCAGCCGCGGUAAUACAUAGGUGGCGAGCGUUAUCCGGAUUUAUUGGGCGUAAAGAGUGCACAGGUGGUUUAUCAAGUCAGGCGUUAAAGCCCGGAGCUCAACUCCGGUUCGCGCUUGAAACUGAUAGACUAGAGUAUCGGUGGGGUUAGUAGAAUUCCAUGUGUAGCGGUGGAAUGCAUAAAUAUAUGGAGGAAUACCAGUGGCGAAGGCGGCUAACUGAACGAUAACUGACACUUAAGCACGAAAGCGUGGGGAGCAAAUAGGAUUAGAUACCCUAGUAGUCCACGCCGUAAACGAUCCAGACUAGACGUAGGGAAGACCCUGUGUCACAGCUAACGCAUUAAGUCUGGCGCCUGGGUAGUAUGCACGCAAGUGUGAAACUCAAAGGAAUUGACGGGGACCAGCACAAGUGGUGGAGCAUGUGGUUUAAUUCGAAGAUACGCGAAGAACCUUACCUACACUUGACAUGCUUGGCAAUGCUAUGGAGACAUAGCGGAGGCAAACCGAUGCACAGGUGGUGCAUGGUUGUCGUCAGCUCGUGUCGUGAGAUGUUCGGUUAAGUCC
RNAcentral lists this ribosomal RNA (1023 nucleotides) under uncultured Mycoplasmataceae bacterium. RNAcentral describes it as "bacterial SSU rRNA". It matches the Rfam family "Bacterial small subunit ribosomal RNA", at positions 53 to 1087 of the family's 1533-position model. Lineage: Bacteria; Bacillati; Mycoplasmatota; Mollicutes; Mycoplasmatales; Mycoplasmataceae. The record is from RNAcentral.